AGAUUGAACGCUGGCGGCAGGCCUAACACAUGCAAGUCGAGCGGCAGCACGGGUACUUGUACCUGGUGGCGAGCGGCGGACGGGUGAGUAAUGCCUAGGAAUCUGCCUGGUAGUGGGGGAUAACGCUCGGAAACGGACGCUAAUACCGCAUACGUCCUACGGGAGAAAGCAGGGGACCUUCGGGCCUUGCGCUAUCAGAUGAGCCUAGGUCGGAUUAGCUAGUUGGUGGGGUAAUGGCUCACCAAGGC
Molecule: ribosomal RNA, 248 nt
Filed under: uncultured soil bacterium
Lineage: Bacteria
Description: partial 16S ribosomal RNA
Rfam family: Bacterial small subunit ribosomal RNA
Source: RNAcentral